This 596-nucleotide ribosomal RNA is filed under the name Hippasa holmerae. Its description in RNAcentral is "eukaryotic LSU rRNA". The stretch from base 407 to 596 matches the Rfam family "Eukaryotic large subunit ribosomal RNA", at positions 665 to 838 of the family's 3401-position model. The record is from RNAcentral. Lineage: Eukaryota; Metazoa; Arthropoda; Arachnida; Araneae; Lycosidae.
AGGAUUCAGUCUGAAGUUGGCGUCGCGCUGGUCGGGGGCAUCCCCGGGGCCGUCCGACCGCGAAUGACAGACGCAUUUGUCUCCCGCCCGAAGGACGCCGCAGCCGGUCUGGCAUUGCAAACGUGACGGCCUGAAAGUCGGGGCGACGCAGGUGGCCGGUGGCGCGCUUCGGCGAGUCGCCGGUUGUUAGCAGCCCCGUCGGUGGCCCGUCGCCAGACCGAGGUAUCGAAACGCCCUUCGGGGCAUUCUCAUCUCCUCGUCGGGACUGACAGUCGCGAGCGAAGGCAGCCGCCUGGCCGCACUCCGGCGGAGUGGGCCAGCGGCCGCCGGUGACAGCGGACCCGUCGGAGGUUGGAGGUUAGCGGCGAGUAGGUCGGUCACCCACCCGACCCGUCUUGAAACACGGACCAAGGAGUCUAACAUGUGCGCGAGUCAAUGGGUCUUGGAACAAGCCCAGUGGCGCAAUGAAAGCGAAUAGGUCGGCUUCGCGCCGUCCGAGUCGGGAUCGGCGCACCGACGACCCGUCCUUUGCGGCUCGCCGCUCGGAUGGAGUGUGAGCGUACACGUUGGGACCCGAAAGAUGGUGAACUAUGCCC